Molecule: unclassified non-coding RNA, 289 nt
Filed under: Hevea brasiliensis (rubber tree)
Lineage: Eukaryota; Viridiplantae; Streptophyta; Magnoliopsida; Malpighiales; Euphorbiaceae
Source: RNAcentral
CACCGAGCGAAUAAAAAAAACCCUAAUUUCGAUUCCAAUCGGUAUAAAAAUCCACAAAUUCACUUGAUAAUUCACAAUAAUCUCUCUCGAUCAACAACGAAGCUCGCAAAGCCCUCGUCUCGCUCUUCCUAUCUUCCCUUCUUUAUCUUUGUUUUCUGUUUGGUUUUUAUCUUUCUAUCUAAUCCUCUUUUGUUUUACAGGAUUUGGUUUCUUGGUUUGUAUCUAUCUUUUUUGUUAUUUGUUUUUGUUUUUUGGUAUUGACAUAAUGGAUGCAGGAUCAGUAAACUCU